This 406-nucleotide ribosomal RNA is filed under the name uncultured bacterium. RNAcentral describes it as "partial 16S ribosomal RNA". It matches the Rfam family "Bacterial small subunit ribosomal RNA", at positions 30 to 526 of the family's 1533-position model. The record is from RNAcentral.
AUUGAACGCUGGCGGCAGGCCUAACACAUGCAAGUCGAGCGAGCGGCGGACGGGUGAGUAAUGUCUGGGAAACUGCCUGAUGGAGGGGGAUAACUACUGGAAACGGUCGCUAAUACCGCAUACCCUCAGAUGUGCCCAGAUGGGAUUAGCUAGUAGGUGGGGUAACGGCUCACCUAGGCGACGAUCCCUAGCUGGUCUGAGAGGAUGACCAGCCACACUGGAACUGAGACCCGGCCCAGACUCCUCCGGGAGCCAGCAGUGGGGAACAUUGCACAAUGGGCGCAGGCUUGAUGCAGCCAGGCCGCGUGUAUGAGGAAGGCCUUCGGGUUGUAAAGUACUUUCAGCGGGGAGGCGUUACCCGCAGAAGAAGCACCGGCUAACUCCGUGCCAGCAGCCGCGGUAAUUC